UUCAGCUCCUCUGAAAAUCAAUCCACUCGUUUAGAUGCCUGAAUAUGAAUGUUAGUGCCAGACUUUGGACAGUGACAUAGGAAGACAUUGGCCUGAGCCUAUGCAUGGACUCUCAUCCUACAAUCCAACCCCUCAACAGAUACAUCCCAGCUUCUGACUGUGAGCCAUUCAGCUACAAUGGGGAGGCCUAGAUGCUAGCCCCACAUGAGAGAGGGAAGGAUUUCAGGCCCAAGGCCCAAGUGGGGCAGGAAGAAGCACACGCUCACCUCAGUUGCCAUCUUUGCUGAGAGCCCCACAUGAGAGAGGGAAGGAUUUCAGGCCCAAGGCCCAAGUGGGGCAGGAAGAAGCACACGCUC
Long non-coding RNA from Malaclemys terrapin pileata, 356 nucleotides. RefSeq lists it as uncharacterized. NCBI's taxonomy places the organism in Eukaryota, Metazoa, Chordata, Testudines, Emydidae. The record is from RefSeq and is a predicted model, not a curated record. The transcript has 3 exons.